UUUGACGAGUCGAGUUGUUUGGGAAUGCAGCUCUAAAUGGGUGGUAAAUUUCAUCUAAAGUUAAAUAUCUGCCAGAGACCGAUAGCGCACAAGUAGAGUGAUCGAAAGAUGAAAAGCACUUUGAAAAGAGAGUCAAACAGUACGUGAAAUUGUUGAAAGGGAAACGCUUGCAACCAGACUCGUUUGCAGAAGCUCAGCCUUCCUUCGGGAUGGUGUACUCUUCUGUGCACGGUCCAGCAUCANUUUCGGCGACCGGAUAAAGAUUCUGAGAACGUAGCUCUCUUUNCAUAGUGUUAUAGCUCGGAAUGUAAUGCGGCAGCUGAGACUGAGGUCCGCGCUUUUGCUAGGAUGCGG
Molecule: ribosomal RNA, 354 nt
Filed under: Graphis scripta
Lineage: Eukaryota; Fungi; Ascomycota; Lecanoromycetes; Ostropales; Graphidaceae
Description: eukaryotic LSU rRNA
Rfam family: Eukaryotic large subunit ribosomal RNA
Source: RNAcentral